RNAcentral lists this long non-coding RNA (969 nucleotides) under Panax ginseng (ginseng). Its description in RNAcentral is "long non-coding RNA (PGIN_LNC009970)". Lineage: Eukaryota; Viridiplantae; Streptophyta; Magnoliopsida; Apiales; Araliaceae. The record is from RNAcentral.
CCAGAUUAGGGCUUCAAUUUAUCAGAAUCUGAAACUAGGGUUUUCAGAUCAAGUAUUAGGGUUUCAGAUUUUGAAUUAGGGUUUUGUAAUCAAUUUGUUAAGAUUAACCCUAAUUAAUCUUAUAAUUAUUUACACUUAUGCCAUUAAGUUCCCGAUUUAGGGUUUCAUGCACCGAAUUAGGGUUUCGGAUUCUCGAAACUGAAACUAGGGUUUCCAGAACCGAUUUCUAGGGUUUCUUAUCAAACGUUAGGGUUUUCUAACUGAACGUUGUUGUUCUUAAUAUAUUCUUAGGGUUUGUUACAGAUAUAAUUUAUCUGGUCAACCCUUGACCCUUAACCACAUUCUGAACACGUACAUAACCAUAAACACAACACAUAUUCACAUAAAUCCUUAAUCCUGAAUAAUUCACCUAAAUCCUUCACAGAAUUUUGAAAUCCUCAAAAUUCCAUCCUAAUAACAUCAAACGCAUACACUUAUUUUCUAUCUAGGUCUAUUAUUUGACCUUAAAUCAAUCAUUUAAGAUUUUACUAAAUUGUCCAAAUUCUCGGGUUGUCACAUUCACCCCUCCUUCUAAGAAUUUCGUCCCCGAAAUUCACCUUACACCUUACACCGUAUACCAAAUAGCUUACACCAUUCACACAUAUCACAUGCUACCCAAUACACCACUCACCAGAGUAAAAGUUUUCAAAUUGUGCUGAGGGGUCGUAUAGACCAUGAACACUUAGUUUUAACGGUAGUGAUCAUACCGCAAAACAAUACAUUACUUGGUAUGUUUACAAUCACAAAGAAGGUAAACUACCAUUAAUAGUACUUUAGGUGAUUAGCCUAUCGUACUCUUACGUCAUGCAUAACGUAUUAAUUAUGUGUUGCGAAUAUUUACGCUUCUCGAUUGGAUUAUUUAUCCAAACAACAUUGUUCACCUCAGUCUUAUUAUAGGAUUCCGUACCAAAACAAUUUGGUUCGGGAAAU